Molecule: long non-coding RNA, 375 nt
Organism: Myotis davidii
Lineage: Eukaryota; Metazoa; Chordata; Mammalia; Chiroptera; Vespertilionidae
Exons: 2
Source: RefSeq, a predicted model, not a curated record
UCUGUACAAUAAAGCUUAACAAAAGCAUUUCAAGUUCAGAACCCCUUAUUUUAACUAUCAUUGGUUUUAAAAAAUGUAUUGAGCUUUUAGGCUUUGAGAAUGCUGGUGUUAAUGAAAUAGGUAUUUUUAUUUGGGAAUGUUAUGAACCCUCUCUGCAACAUAUAGAUCAGGUCACCGGUGGACAGAACUUUACAUUAUUGAGAAUUUAUUUGAUCGAGAUGCAUCUUGACUCUCGAGAUUAGUGAAUUUGAAACACAAUGGAUUUAUUCCAACUAAUUCUGUGUUCUGCAGAUCUCUGAUAGAAACAUACAGGAAUGCUGGGCUCAAUUGGCAAUUAUGGGCUUAAAUAAAUGUAUUAUUGUUAUACAAAUGUAA